This 484-nucleotide ribosomal RNA is filed under the name uncultured bacterium. RNAcentral describes it as "partial 16S ribosomal RNA". It matches the Rfam family "Bacterial small subunit ribosomal RNA", at positions 28 to 523 of the family's 1533-position model. The record is from RNAcentral.
GACGAACGCUGGCGGCGUGCUUAACACAUGCAAGUCGAACGAUGAACCCGGAGCUUGCUCCGGCGGAUUAGUGGCGAACGGGUGAGUAACACGUGAGUAACCUGCCCUUGACUCUGGGAUAACUGCUAGAAAUGGUAGCUAAUACCGGAUACGACCCUCGGUGGCAUCACCAGGGGGUGGAAAGAAUUUCGGUCAAGGAUGGACCCGCGGCCUAUCAGCUAGUUGGUGAGGUAACGGCUCACCAAGGCGACGACGGGUAGCCGGCCUGAGAGGGUGACCGGCCACACUGGGACUGAGACACGGCCCAGACUCCUACGGGAGGCAGCAGUGGGGAAUAGUGCACAAUGGGCGAAAGCCUGAUGCAGCAACGCCGCGUGAGGGAUGAAGGCCUUCGGGUUGUAAACCUCUUUUAGCAGGGAAGAAGCGAAAGUGACGGUACCUGCAGAAAAAGCACCGGCUAACUACUUGCCAGCCGCCGCCGUAA